RNAcentral lists this small nuclear RNA (168 nucleotides) under Pogona vitticeps (central bearded dragon). RNAcentral describes it as "U1 spliceosomal RNA (ENSPVIG00000012022.1)". It matches the Rfam family "U1 spliceosomal RNA". Rfam says of the family: U1 is a small nuclear RNA (snRNA) component of the spliceosome (involved in pre-mRNA splicing). Lineage: Eukaryota; Metazoa; Chordata; Lepidosauria; Squamata; Agamidae. The record is from Rfam by way of RNAcentral.
CAACUUAUGCCUUGCAGGGGAAAUGCCAUGUCAUAAAAGUGGUUUUCCCAGAGGGAGGCUCAUCCAUUGCACUUCAGGUACGCUGCUGAUUCCUGUGACUUCCCCAAGUGUGAAGAACUCAACUGCACAACUGGUGUUAAUGGGAGGUUACAUUUGUGUUUUACCUGG